GUCCGGCUAGCUCAGUCAGUACAGCAUGAGACUCUUAAUCUCAGGGUCGUGGGUUCAUGCCCCACAUUAGAUG
Molecule: transfer RNA, 73 nt
Filed under: Neotoma lepida (desert woodrat)
Lineage: Eukaryota; Metazoa; Chordata; Mammalia; Rodentia; Cricetidae
Rfam family: tRNA
About the family: Transfer RNA (tRNA) molecules are approximately 80 nucleotides in length. Their secondary structure includes four short double-helical elements and three loops (D, anti-codon, and T loops).
Source: Rfam by way of RNAcentral